GUGCCAGCAGCCGCGGUAAUACGGAGGAUCCAAGCGUUAUCCGGAUUCAUUGGGUUUAAAGGGUGCGUAGGCGGAAUGAUAAGUCAGUGGUGAAAGCCUGCAGCUUAACUGCAGAACUGCCAUUGAUACUGUCAAUCUUGAGUACAUUUGAUGUGGGCGGAAUGUGUCAUGUAGCGGUGAAAUGCUUAGAUAUGACACAGAACACCGAUUGCGAAGGCAGCUCACAAAACUGUAACUGACGCUGAGGCACGAAAGCGUGGGUAUCAAACAGGAUUAGAAACCCGCGUAGUCC
RNAcentral lists this ribosomal RNA (292 nucleotides) under uncultured bacterium. RNAcentral's name for it is "partial 16S ribosomal RNA". It matches the Rfam family "Bacterial small subunit ribosomal RNA", at positions 505 to 796 of the family's 1533-position model. The record is from RNAcentral.